AAUUAGUGUUCAAAUCAACAAUUAGAAGUUGAGUUAUGAUAAUUACGAUAUAAAAUUAUAUUAAUAUGCAGAUAAAAGGAACAAAUAUCAAAAUAUGUGAAAAAUUAGUUCGGUUGCCGCCGCUAAAUGGCUAUAGUGUUUUUGUGUCCAUUAACGUGCCUAUAUGCUCUUAUACAUGUAUAUGGAAUAAAUGUAUAUGGAAAUAUAUGAUUGCAAUGAAUGUUAUAAAUAAUAAUCUAUAAUUUUUAACAAUUAUGGUACUAGUCAUUCCUCUGGGACAAUGAUGCUAUCCCAUUCAUUACUUCAGGAUGGUUGGUUAGCAUAAUCUUUGAUAUGGUCGAGUUCAAAAAAAAAAAAUGCUUUGGGUGCAAAGACUGUUUGUUCGAAUUGUUCUUUUCUUUCAGAUUGCUCGGUUUAUUCGAACUGCUUGCUUUAGUUUUUAAUCGAAUGGCUCGUUUUCGAACCUUGCGGAUCGCUUGUUUCGAUCACUCAUGACUACUCAGCUCGAGCCGAGCAAAGUUCGGCUCGCUUUCCCGGGCUUUCCAACAGCACUAACAAUAAGUUCAACUACUAUGGGUAAACUAUAACAACAUCGUAAUCUGGUGAAAUUGAUAGGUUAUUUAUAACACUAAAAAUAUUGCUAUAAAUACCAACAGUCUGUCUAUCGAUAAUAUAAAUACAUUGCCUGACAUUUUAAUUGCCAGAUGUCAUAAAUACGCGAUUUGUUGAAGUGUAUGGAACAAAAAAAAAUUUGAUAAGUAGGCUGGGAGCAGUGUAAUCGCAACUCAGUGAUUGGAUGAUUUGACUCUUUAAAUCAAAGAAUUUGGCGUGUCCAUUGUCCACACCAUCUUAAUUCAACAGCGUUCGAAUUAUAUAAAAGUUUUUAUUGAGCAUAGUGUUACAUGUUACAAUAGUAAUAAUUAUAAUAAUAUUAAUUAUGGUGAAAGUAAUGAUAAUCAAUGAUAUACCUUUCAACAAAUAAAACUAUCACGAUGUUACAUUUAAAAACGGUACUUUUACAAACUCCUGAUUUGUAAUCGGCUUGACUAGCAUAUUAGAAGCAUUAACGUUACAGUUAAUCGUAAUCAAUUAGAGAAGGAUCGAAAGCACGUUUAAUACGGAGGGACAAUUACGAUAAACAGGUAUUAAAAACGCUUUGUAAUAAAUUAGGUAUGAUACGAGAAAUGUACAAUGAUAGAUCACUAAUAUUAUUAUUAAACGUAUUGAGAGCUACACAUCGUUCAUGACAAUAACGUGCAAGGCUGAUUUGUACGAGUUUCAGUAGUAAAAUAUUUUGCUCCUCUUCUCUUUAACAAUUUUUGUCUCGCUAUCCCUCGCUUUAUUAAAAACACUGAAUAGCUGUUCGUUAAUUAAUUUCACGUUUUUUUGUGAGAUUAUUUCCACAGCCUUUAAGAUUGGUGACCAAAUCAGCCUGGCAGAUUCGGAAAAGAGAAGGAGCGACACGCGCGUAAGAAAACGUCCGACAGAUAAUAAAAUAUGUGUACAACUUCCAAUAAAUAUGCGACGUUCGUCUAAAGUACAGAUUGCUUAUCCAGUAAUCCGCCGCGUCUCGUACAAAGUACUUAAAAUAGAUUCUAAACUAGUCUUUCGUGCUUUAAGUUUAAUUAAUUUGUAUCAGGAAGUUUCUUAUGGUUUUACUCGAUUAUAUUUUAGGCUUGAAGUGCCUAUAAAAGAACACCCAGUUACUUCCGUUAUGUAUCCAUUUAAAAACAAUUGUAUCGUAUUAAAUCUGAUUUCUAAAUUCUUAAAAGGUUUAAGGUUGAAACAUUUUAUUAAAGAAAGUUACGCGUAGAAUUUUAGUAGAAAUAUUUUUGUAUUAAUGGCAUUAUGUUUUUAUUUACUAAUUAAAAUAUCACAAUAUCUAUGGUGGAAACGUAGAAAGCGAAGAAAUUUUUCUUCGCGUUUAAGAUUCCUACGAAACAAGAAACUGAGAUGAAUUAUUUUGUUUAUUUGAACGUUAACAAACGUCACUCGCCACAAGGUUUUCACGUGUAAAAGAUUACGAACAUGUGUAGGCAUUCUGUUUUAGGCGCUUCACCCUGUAGUUAACAUACAGUGAUUAUUUGCAGAAUGAGCUUCGAGUUCGAAGAGCGUCUACGAUUUUUCUGUGCAGAAUUUUCAUUACGAGAAGUUGAACAAAAUUCUUGAUCGUAGCAUCCUCGAUUCGAACACUAUUCGUGUGUACAUACACGAAACUUGAUUGAUCGUUCGAUUCUUGUUAGAACUUUACAAAAUACUGAAGUAAUACUGAGUAAUAUACGAUGAUACUUUUUUUCUCUCGUUGUAUUACAUUACGUGGACCGAUCGCGAAAAGCAAGCAGUCGGUCGGGCGAAAUUUCGUGAAGGUGAAAUAAUCCUAGUAUUGAUUAACAAAUUGAUCGUAUAGAGGGAGAGAGGGGAGAGAGAAAUGCGAGUUCCCCGUUUAGCCGACUCAACGUUCAAAUACCUGCUCGGCAGUAAAUGAGAUCCGAAUGAAUGUUAACGGGCCGAUUGUAUUUUGUUAUUUCAGCUCAAGAAUCGAUCCUUUGGCUCUGCGCUAGGGUGAA
Molecule: long non-coding RNA, 2567 nt
Organism: Hylaeus volcanicus
Lineage: Eukaryota; Metazoa; Arthropoda; Insecta; Hymenoptera; Colletidae
Exons: 2
Source: RefSeq, a predicted model, not a curated record